UCCUGAAGGGGAAAGUGAAGAGUGUUGUAAGAUUUCUAUCAUUGUGAUAGAAGAACUGCUUAACAGCCAGAGCAUGGUUUCAAUUCAAAAUAGCACAAGCAGAAGAAAGAAAACACUGUUUAGUGAGAAACAUAUACACACGUUAUUAACAAACCAAGUCAGUAUGAUAAAUCUUGUCCCAUUACACUAUGUAACAUGUUUUUUGUUCCUGGGUUAUAAAUAUCAUUUCCUAAUUGGUUCUAUCAUAAAAACAUGGAAAAAGUUAUUAAAUCCCAAAAACACAUUUUGCUCUACUUUUUUCAAGGAAUAUCCGAUAAGUCUCAACCAAUUCAACAUAGUUUGUGGCAGCCACAAAAACUAAGUUUCCGGAGUAUAACAACUACUUGCAAAGUAAGUACCACACAAUUAAACAGAAAAAUCACUUUUAAAACAGGAACAAAAUUGUUUUCAAAAUUUGUUACAUAGUGUUAUCAAAUAACAGCAAUCUAGAAAAUGUAGACCUUCUGUUCUAAUUCAGGGGUAAAAAAAAGUUUAGCCUCACUCCCUUUUGUAGAGAUUACUCUUGGAGCGAUAACUUGCUUCUAAACAUUCCUGUGACAUCCUAGCCUAGCGAUAAAGUUGACUACAAAGAUUCUAAAAUCAAAACUAGAGAUAAAAAAGCAGGGAGGGCAGCAGGAACAAAAACUCUCCUCUCAACACUAAUUGCAGAGGGUGCGCCUUGCUCUAAAUGAACAUUUUCGCACACAGUCAUUUGGUCUUCAAUAUACUGUAUGACAACUAAGUAAAAAGUCAACACCCAACAGCUGGCUUUCAUAAUCAAGCCAAGCUAGCAGUUGACGGGAUCGGGUGUGGAGAUUAAAUCCCAUUCUCCAUUCAGCAAAAGAAUGGCAAGAAUUUGCCUCUAAACUCACUAGGAGAAUUAUGCAACUCAGCUAGAGGCAAAGGAUGGGGGCACUACAAGACUGUUUUAAUUAUGUGGCAUCCUGGUGGCCUUUGUGACUCACUGAACUAUAGCCAGCUAGCUCAACUAGUAGCCAAAUUCAGCGAGAGGUGUAGAUUUAACCUGGGAGAUUGCUACCUGAAUAAUGAUUACUUAAUUUAUCAGCUGCAGCAAAAACAAUCUUACGGAAUUUGAAACUAAUAUAUUUUAUUUGACGUAAGAUUUUAUAGGUCACAGUAUAUAAAAUUUUACUAACUUCCUCUUCCCCCUUUCUUUUCUUCCAUUUCUAUCAUGACACUGGCUACAAACCAAUGUUUGCAAGUAAAGUGGCAUAUGGAUUAAAAAGUAAGAACUGCAAGCUUCACCUAUCUAUAACGCUUCAGAGCAUGGAGGUGAAAUCGUUGUGGACUAAGGUUGACAUUUUACUCACCUUGCCUUUAGAGCCUGCGCCAACUGCCACCACAGUGGCUUGUAGUACUUUUCCUUGAGACUUU
Anolis carolinensis (green anole) is the source of this 1434-nucleotide long non-coding RNA. RefSeq lists it as uncharacterized. NCBI's taxonomy places the organism in Eukaryota, Metazoa, Chordata, Lepidosauria, Squamata, Anolidae. The transcript has 2 exons. The record is from RefSeq and is a predicted model, not a curated record.